GUGAGGAAUAUUGCGCAAUGGAGGCAACUCUGACGCAGCCAUGCCGCGUGCAGGAAGAAGGCGCUACGCGUUGUAAACUGCUUUUAACCGGGAAGAAACCCCAGGACGUGUCCUGGGUUGACGGUACCGGAGGAAUAAGCACCGGCUAACUUCGUGCCAGCAGCCGCGGUAAUACGAAGGGUGCAAGCGUUAUCCGGAUUCAUUGGGUUUAAAGGGUGCGUAGGCGGAGCGUUAAGUCAGUGGUGAAAUCCUGCAGCUUAACUGUAGACUUGCCAUUGAUACUGGCGCUCUUGAGUGCGCUUGAAGUAGGCGGAAUGUGCCGUGUAGCGGUGAAAUGCUUAGAUAUGGCACAGAACACCAAUUGCGAAGGCAGCUCACUAAGGCGAUACUGACGCUGAGGCACGAAAGCGUGGGGAUCGAACAGGAUUAGAAACCCUGGUAGUCC
This 445-nucleotide ribosomal RNA is filed under the name uncultured bacterium. RNAcentral's name for it is "partial 16S ribosomal RNA". It matches the Rfam family "Bacterial small subunit ribosomal RNA", at positions 354 to 796 of the family's 1533-position model. The record is from RNAcentral.